GGCGAUCUUAUUGGGCCUAAAGCGUCCGUAGCUGGGUCUGAAAGUCCAUCGGGAAAUCCACUCGCUCAACGAGUGGUCGUCCGGUGGAAACUCCACACCUUGGGACCGGAAGGCUCGAAGGGUACGGCCGGGGUAGGAGUGAAAUCCUGUAAUCCCGUCCGGACCACCGAUGGCGAAAGCACUUCGAGAAAACGGAUCCGACAGUGAGGGACGAAAGCUAAGAUCGCGAAC
This 231-nucleotide ribosomal RNA is filed under the name uncultured archaeon. RNAcentral describes it as "partial 16S ribosomal RNA". It matches the Rfam family "Archaeal small subunit ribosomal RNA", at positions 494 to 724 of the family's 1478-position model. The record is from RNAcentral.